This 1401-nucleotide long non-coding RNA is filed under the name Toxoplasma gondii VEG. Lineage: Eukaryota; Apicomplexa; Conoidasida; Eucoccidiorida; Sarcocystidae. The record is from RNAcentral.
ACAUAGCGACUGUCGGUCGCUUUUUCGGCAACGAAAGUGAAGACGAAAGCGAAGCGGAAAGCGACGAGGAAAGGGAAGACGCUUCCGGGCGACGAGUCCCGCGAGAAGACGCUGGAGACGAUGGCAGAGAAUGCAGCUUUGCUCCGGCUACCGCCGAUGCAACCGCCACGGCCCCGAGAUUGACCGAACGGAAACGGCGAAACUUCAGCGCUACAAGUUGUCUGGAAACGGGAAAACAGAAAAGAGCCAAAAGCACCGAAACUUCAAAUUGGAAGACAGAAGCCACAGUCAGCGGGAUGGUCAUGGACGAGCGGGUACCAAGACAGACAAGGUGCACAUACAUAUUACAGCUCAUACUGAAAAUCAAUUUGUCUGGAAAUGAAAAUGGGGGCAUCCGCUCGUGGAGACUGUUUUUAACAAGUUGCUGAGAGAGACUGGAGGCGGAAAGGCAAGACGGAGUUAUCCCUGUAGGCACACAGUUCAAAAUCCGAAGAGAAGAUGUUAAAAUUGAACAGUCCCAGCCGCUGCAGGUGUUGGAAAGGUACCGUUGUUCAAAUGGGAUUUUUCGAGAGGUUUUGUCCCUUGGUUUGAAGCUAGAUUACCUUUCCGAGUUCGUCCACCGAUUUCGUGAAGGUUUGACAAUGUAGACCUCUUCAAAUAGUGCAAUGCACAGAAACAAGAGGGAGGCGGUGAACGAUGUGAAAGAGUCGAAUACCGUGCAGAUGAAAGUGCCUCCGUGCUGAAGAAGUUGGAAAGCAAUCAGAAACUCCGAGAGCAACAGCCGCCCAGUCAGCAGCUCCUGGUAGUUGUCCAAGUGCUGCCCUGUCACUGUCUUCUUUGCUGACAGAAACGGAAGAGACGCAGGAAUCUAGAGAAGCCAUGCGGAAGGAGGAAUUGGGGGGAGUCAACGCAGUCCAGAAAACGCAAAUAAAGAGGCGUUCCAUACGAUAUGGAUAUCUCUCUUUAGAUCCAAUUCGAACCAAGCUUACGUGUAUCGCUCCACGUAGAAGGGGUGUAUGUCGGGACAGCAGGGCACAAAUAUAGAGAGUGCGUGUCUGCCAACAAAGCGGCUGUCGAUUAGUGACGUAUCUCAGGAGUCAAAGGGAGAAACACAUGUUUGCCGGUAGUUUGUUGCCAGGGUGUUGGUGCAUGUCUAAAGGUCUUGUUGGAGAGGACACAAGAAAGUGCUACGGCUAAUGCAGAAAAAUUAUCAACUGACCACGACACGCUCAUACCCUGACCUUUGCACGAGGCGGUGCACAGGUGAUGCUAGGUCGAUCUGAAGUACAGACGGAUCAAUCUCUAGUACUGUCUAUCUCUGUAGAUUUCGAUGUACGUGUCGGUAAAUAUAUAUAUAUAUAUAUACAUAUAUAUUUAUGCCAUCGAUUUGCAAAUAUGUGG